This 1001-nucleotide ribosomal RNA is filed under the name uncultured organism. RNAcentral describes it as "bacterial SSU rRNA". It matches the Rfam family "Bacterial small subunit ribosomal RNA", at positions 404 to 1408 of the family's 1533-position model. The record is from RNAcentral.
AAGGAAGACUGUUCUAUGAAUUGUAAACUUCUUUUGUGGUAGAGUAAAUAUAGCUACGUGUAGUUAUUUGCAAGUAUACCAUGAAUAAGCAUCGGCUAACUCCGUGCCAGCAGCCGCGGUAAUACGGAGGAUGCAGGCGUUAUCCGGAUUUAUUAGGUUUAAAGGGUGUCUAGGCUGCCACAUAAGUCAGAGGUGAAAGUCGGUUGCUCAACAAUCGAAUUGCCUUUGAAACUGUGUGGCUCGAAUAUAGAUGAGGUAGGCGGAAUGUGUAGUGUAGCGGUGAAAUGCAUAGAUAUUACACAGAACACCAAUUGCGAAGGCAGCUUACCAAACUACUAUUGACGCUGAAGCACGAAAGCGUGGGUAGCGAACAGGAUUAGAUACCCUGGUAGUCCACGCCGUAAACUAUGCUCACUCGCUGUUGGCAAUACAUGGUCAGCGGCUAAGGGAAACCGAUAAGUGAGCCACCUGGGGAGUACGAUCGCAAGAUUGAAACUCAAAGGAAUUGACGGGGGCCCGCACAAGCGGAGGAACAUGUGGUUUAAUUCGAUGAUACGCGAGGAACCUUACCUGGGCUUAAAUGUAGAGUGCAUUACUUAGAAAUAGGUAUUUCCUUCGGGACUCUUUACAAGGUGCUGCAUGGUUGUCGUCAGCUCGUGCCGUGAGGUGUCGGGUUAAGUCCCAUAACGAGCGCAACCCCUAUUGUUAGUUACCAGCGCGUAAAGGCGGGGACUCUAGCGAAACUGCCGGUGUAAACCGCGAGGAAGGUGGGGAUGACGUCAAAUCAGCACGGCCCUUAUGUCCAGGGCUACACACGUGUUACAAUGGCCGGUACAGUGGGCAGCCACAUAGCGAUAUGGAGCUAAUCUCAAAAGCCGGUCUCAGUUCGGAUUGGAGUCUGCAACCCGACUCCAUGAAGGUGGAUUCGCUAGUAAUCGCGCAUCAGCCAUGGCGCGGUGAUACGUUCCCGGGCCUUGUCACACCGCCCGUCAAGCCAUGGA